AUUUAACAGCUCCUUCUUGGGUGCAUGUGCUACAGACUCAACAGUGUGAUAUCCAGCUUCUUCUAAUUUCUUCACAUCAUUUGCAUUUAUACCACAUUGCUCUAGCCUAGAUAUGGGCUCUGGCCCAAAGCUCUCCUCCUCUGCGGAUGUGUCGGUGCUUGCCUCGAACUGCACCUGCAUGGCCAUGGCUGCAGCCGCCCUUAACCCAGCGUUAUUUUUCAAACUUCUCCUCACGGGCCCGCCUCAACCGCCACUCCUCCUCAAGGCCGCAGCCGCCCGCUGCAACCCGCGCGGGACGCCGCGGCCAUUACCGUUCGCGGCCGCCACCGCUUCGGAGGAGCCCGCCACCG
RNAcentral lists this long non-coding RNA (350 nucleotides) under Gallus gallus (chicken). Lineage: Eukaryota; Metazoa; Chordata; Aves; Galliformes; Phasianidae. The record is from RNAcentral.